This 236-nucleotide long non-coding RNA is filed under the name Elaeis guineensis (African oil palm). RNAcentral describes it as "long non-coding RNA (EGUI_LNC034641)". Lineage: Eukaryota; Viridiplantae; Streptophyta; Magnoliopsida; Arecales; Arecaceae. The record is from RNAcentral.
GGAGUAUGACAUGAUGGAAAACCACUCCUUUCGUCCGAAGCCGACGCCCACGUGAAAAUGCGGGCCGACACGACAUCAGACUCAAGAGUGGGGGGGCAACUGUUGGGAUAUACCAACUGACCCCUGUAGGCCAAUUUAUCCUCAAGCCGAUCCGACAGACGUCUGACUCUACCCACCAGACUGACGGACGACUCCGACAAUGACUGCCGACAAUGGCUGCCGACAAUAUCCGACCG